RNAcentral lists this ribosomal RNA (253 nucleotides) under uncultured bacterium. RNAcentral's name for it is "partial 16S ribosomal RNA". It matches the Rfam family "Bacterial small subunit ribosomal RNA", at positions 524 to 776 of the family's 1533-position model. The record is from RNAcentral.
CACGGGGGGAGCAAGCGUUGUUCGGAAUCACUGGGCGUAAAGGGCGUGUAGGCGGUCAGGUAAAUGGGAUGUGAAAUGCCCCGGCUCACCCGGGGACCGGCAUCCCAUACUGCUUGGCUUGAGUACGGGAGAGGAUGUGGGAAUUCCUGGUGUAGUGGUGAAAUGCGUAGAUAUCGGGAGGAACACCAAUGGCGAAGGCAGCUCGCUGGGACGGUACUGACGCUGAGACGCGAAAGCGUGGGGAGCAAACAGG